UUAGGGUUCGAUUCCGGAGAGGGAGCCUGAGAAACGGCUACCACAUCCAAGGAAGGCAGCAGGCGCGCAAAUUACCCAAUCCCGACACGGGGAGGUAGUGACAAUAAAUAACAAUACAGGGCUCUUUUGGGUCUUGUAAUUGGAAUGAGUACAAUUUAAAUCCCUUAACGAGGAACAAUUGGAGGGCAAGUCUGGUGCCAGCAGCCGCGGUAAUUCCAGCUCCAAUAGCGUAUAUUAAAGUUGUUGCAGUUAAAAAGCUCGUAGUUGAAUUUCGGGGUUCUACCGUUGGUCGGGCUUUGUCUGUACUGGCGUGUAGAAUUUCUACCUUCUGGGGAACCAUUAUGUUAUUAAUUUAGCGUAGUGGGAAACCAGGACCUUUACCUUGAAAAAAUUAGAGUGUUCAAAGCAGGCUUAUGUCUGAAUACAUUAGCAUGGAAUAAUAGAAUAGGACGGUGGUCCUGUUUUGUUGGUUUCUGAAUCACCGUAAUGAUUAAUAGGGAUAGUUGGGGGCAUUAGUAUUCAAUUGUCAGAGGUGAAAUUCUUGGAUUUAUUGAAGACUAACUUCUGCGAAAGCAUUUGCCAAGGAUGUUUUCAUUAAUCAAGAACGAAAGUUAGGGGAUCGAAGACGAUCAGAUACCGUCGUAGUCUUAACCAUAAACUAUGCCGACUAGGGAUCGGACGAUGUUAAUUUUUCUUGACUCGUUCGGCGCCUUACG
Molecule: ribosomal RNA, 716 nt
Filed under: Cetraspora pellucida
Lineage: Eukaryota; Fungi; Glomeromycota; Glomeromycetes; Diversisporales; Gigasporaceae
Description: SSU rRNA
Rfam family: Eukaryotic small subunit ribosomal RNA
Source: RNAcentral